GUAGGUGAACCUGCGGAAGGAUCAUUAAUGAAGCUUGGAAACCCUCCCCUCGGGGACGGGGGGGACCUCUCUCUCAUCACACACACCCUUGUGAACCCACACCGUUGCUUCGGCGGCAAACGGUCGGAGACGACCACCGCCGGAGGAUUCUUUGCCAAACAACUGCCCAACAAAGCGUCUGAACCACAAGCAAGAAAAAAAUUGUAACAAAACUUUCAACAAUGGAUCUCUUGGCUCUG
This 239-nucleotide unclassified non-coding RNA is filed under the name rhizosphere metagenome. RNAcentral describes it as "partial ribosomal RNA internal transcribed spacer region". The record is from RNAcentral.